This 2052-nucleotide long non-coding RNA is filed under the name Solanum lycopersicum (tomato). RNAcentral's name for it is "long non-coding RNA (SLYC_LNC000742)". Lineage: Eukaryota; Viridiplantae; Streptophyta; Magnoliopsida; Solanales; Solanaceae. The record is from RNAcentral.
GGUGCUAGUUUAGGCUCAAUUCAGCAUGUAGAAGUGUUCUGAUAUCUUCUCUCUGUGAUUUGCAUUUGAAGACAUUGUCAUUCUUGCUUCUGACUGAGACUUCCCAUGAAUACACCCCGCGUUGAAAAAGACAUCAGCUACCCCUGAGAGAGAUGCAAGUAACUUUAGUUCUCUCAACUCAAGAUGUUUGUUAGCUUCUAGUUUACUUUCUUAUUAAUGUUGACUAGUGUUUUAUUCUAAACCAGUUUCAAUCAAAGAAAAUCUUAUGUAUACUCUAUAGCACAAUUGUACAUGGAACUGAUAAAAAAAUAGGAUAUUUGGGUGCUUUAAGCUCUCCUUGUUCAACUUGUGUAGCUCCAAUGUGUUGGCAUUCUGUAUCAGGGGCAUCUUCUUCCUCAUUCUUGCAGCCAUAUAGACAAAUUAACAAUAAUAAGAAUUUUAAUGUAAGAUAAUUGAUGAUUAGGUCAAUCCUUUUACCCAACUUUCAUCGACUUUACACACGAAAAAUUAACAAGAUCCUGAAUUUCUAUAUUGGGACCUUUAAAUGCUAAAAAAGGUGGCCCUAAUUCAUAUUGAGUGACCCUUGAAUGCUAAAGAAGUGUGUGGAUCAUGGUGAGGCUAUAGGUUAUGUAAAAGUUUUGGAAAAAAAGUGUCCGAAAGUCAUAUUACCAAAAAUUCAAGAUUUCACCAAAAAUUAAAAAAAUCGCCUAAUUCAUGUUGAGUAACCCCUAAAUGCUAAAAAAGUGGUGUGGAUCAUGGUGAGACUAUAUGUAUUGUUCCUCGUGUCAUUAUGGAUGGUCCUUGUAAAAGUUUUGUAAAAAAAAAAAGUUUUAAGUCAUAUCACCAAAAAAUUCAUGGACUAGCACAUGAAAAACUGAGAAAAGUAACCCUAAAUGCUAAAAAAAAAGUGGCGUGGAUUAUGGUGAAACUAUAAAUAUUGUUCCACCGGGUCAUUACAUAUGGUCUUGUAAGGAUUUUGAAAAAAGGUGCAUGAAAGGUAUAUCACCAAAAAAAUUAUGGACUAACACAAACAAAAAUACUAAAAAAAAUGAAUUAAUUCCUAUUGAAUGAACAUAAAAUGCUAAAAAAAAUGGUGUGGAUCAUGUUAAUGCUAUACAUAUUGUUCUCCGGGUCAUUAUGUAGGGCCCGGUAAAUUAUUUUGAAAUAUGUAACCGAAAUUCAUAUCAUCAAAAAAUUCAUGUAUUAAAAACACGAAAAAAUGAUAAAAUUGUCUAAUUCUUAUUGAAUAGUCCUUAAAUGUUUUUAAAAAAUGAUGUGGGUCAUGAUGAAGCUACAUGUAUUGUUCCUCCAAGUCAUUACAGAUGGUCAUGUAAAAAAUGUGCUCGAAAUCCAUAUCAUCAAAAAACUCAUGUACUAACACAUAAGAAAAUCGCCUAAAUGCUUGUUGAGUGGCUCCUUAAAUGCGAAAAAGUGGUGUGAAUCAUGGUGAGGUUAUAUAUAUUGUUCUCCGGGUCAUUACAGAGGAUCAUGUAAAGUUUUGUAAAUAAAUACACAAAAUCCAUAUCAACAAAAAAUUUAUUUAUCAACACGCAUAAAAUAUUGAGAAAAUCAUCUAAUUUCUAUUGAUUACCCUGAUAUUUAAAAAAGUUGCAUGUAUCAUUAUUGGCUAUAUGUAUUGUUCUAAUAGGUCAUUUAUGAAAUGUUUGUAUAGUUUUUAUAAAAAAAAAAGUGUCUGAAAUCUAUAUCAUCAAGAAAUUCAUAUCAACGAAAAUCUAAAAAAAUCUCCUAAAUUUUGUUGUGUGGUUCGUGAAUGCUAGAAAACCGGUCUUGGUAAUGGUGAGGAAUAUUUAUUUUUGGGAAAAGAGUUUGAAAAAUAUUUCAACUUUGGCCAGAAUUUUUGUUACGAUAUCAAACUUUAUGGAGGAACUUUUACCCCAUCGACCAUUUAAUAAUGUAUUUUAUAGGUAUAUAUGUGCCCACGUGGGCACAUUAUUAUUUAUGAUGACACAUAUUUAUGAUGUGCGAUUGUACACGGUCCUUUCCAAAAUUUUGGUAUUGUUACAUCAAUUUUGAUCAAAAUUUAUAUUUUUC